GUUGCUGUGAGAGUACAAGAUACAGAAGCUGUAGCUGUGGAACAGGGCACCCGGCGUUCCAGCACAUGAAGAGUGUGCUUACAAUAUACAGAUGAUGGUUUUCCUGUCUCAAAUCAAGAUGCCCAAAUAUGAGAAGAAGGACUUAUACUGUGACUAAUCUCGGGGUCUGAACUAUAGAUGAGGUAAAUGAAGUCGCAGGGGAAAACCUGCCGGUCUCCCCCCUCCUCCACACCUGCUUAUACACAGUUGUAGACACAACUGGUCGUUACCUCAGCACUCUGUAAGCGUACAGUGCAGACAAUUGUCAGGCUAACAAACAAUCUAUUGCCGUAGCAAGUUGGACAAGUGAUAAAAUAUUUACAUACAAAAUGCCCCAAACAUUUUGAGUGAAAUUAGAUUUCGGGUAUUAGCAGAUGAUUUAUUUAUCUCUCCGCUACCUCAGGCCCGCAGGCCUUGUAAAUAUGCAUAAGCAUUUUCUAAUAAUUCCGUGUGAUUUUCCUAUGAUUUCUGCAUGUCAUUUGCAUAAUUAGUUUCUUUAAUUCCAAUGUAUUUAAGGAGGCAGACUUACCUAAGAGGAAGUGUAAGGAGCUCGGUGUGAAGCCACUGACGAGGCUCUGCACGGGGGUUAAUGUCACUGCCUGUAAUAAUAAAUGCUUCCUGCUCCAGGGGCAAUUACUUGUUGUAAGGAGGAUGCGGAACUCCUGUAGAGGGGGCAAAACUCUGCACUCAGCACCUUUCUCUAUACCUGUCUGGGACAAUACAGUCAGGGCACUGGGUACAGCUCAGGGGGCCUCUAGUGACACAUAAACGGAAGAUAACAAAGCAACAGGCUACCAAUGGGCACGAUGAAACCACGUGAGAAUAAUCUGCCCCUUAUGUAUUUUAAAGAUAAAUAAUGAGUUGUUGGGGUUCAUUAUAUUCUGCGCUGUCUGCGCUGUUGUUGGGUGAAAUAUACAGUAACUAAUCAUAAACAUUAAUCAACACGUGUUCUAGAGUUGAUCCAAUCAUUCACUCUUCAAAAUCUUGCGAUCGGAUAUUCUUGGAUUGAUUUAUUGCUCCGCUAAUUGCAGCAGCGCUUUCCAAACAAAGGGGGUGAUUCUACAGUCACAAUCUCUGACAUGCGGGGGGACGCCCAGAAAGCCAAGCCCCCCCCCCCUCCUCCCCCGCAGAUGCUUCCACAUCUGGCGAGUAGCUUCUUGCGUAUGUGUGACGUCACUCAGUCGCCGUGGCCCGUCCCAGUAAUGGUAGGGACAUGCCUGCUUUGUCCGGACAGCGCCCCCAAACACCGCUGACACGCCUCCCCCCCCCAACGCUGCAGACAUGCCCACGACUGCCUCUGCCUUUCGUAUCUCACUAUGUGCGCGUGCACAGUGCAACCGCUGUGUGUGCGCACACCACAUAGGGCUUUAGCCUGCGAUCGCUGCUGUUGCAGUGACCAGGUCUGAAUUAAGCCCAAAGUGCCCACGGCAGGUUCCCCUGAUGUACAGAUGAGGAAGAUUGUAAGCCAUUCACCGCUGGCCACGCCGCUCGAGAGAAUGAUCUCAGCGACUUCACUCCAGCUCCAUUCCAUUCCCCAAAAUACACCCUACAAGAUGACCUGUGUUGCCACAAGACUAAGGGCCAGAUGUGCUAAGCCUUAAAAAGUGAUAAAGUGGAGAGUGAUUAAGUACCAGCCAAUCAGCUCCCAACUGUCAUGUCACAGGCCCUUUUUGAAAAAUGACAGCAGCUGGUUGGCUAGUAGUUUAUCACUCUCCACUUUUCAAGGCUUAAUACAUCUGGCCUCAAGGGGUCUAUUCAUGAACCAGUGAAAAGAGUGGAGAAACAGACCAGUGGAGAAGUUGGCCAUGGCAACCAAUCAGCAUCUCCCUUACA
Molecule: long non-coding RNA, 1872 nt
Organism: Pseudophryne corroboree (corroboree frog)
Lineage: Eukaryota; Metazoa; Chordata; Amphibia; Anura; Myobatrachidae
Exons: 3
Source: RefSeq, a predicted model, not a curated record